This is a long non-coding RNA of Xenopus laevis (African clawed frog), 1656 nucleotides long. RefSeq lists it as uncharacterized. Lineage: Eukaryota; Metazoa; Chordata; Amphibia; Anura; Pipidae. The record is from RefSeq and is a predicted model, not a curated record. The transcript has 2 exons.
GCAGAGGUGUUUCUGAGCAAGCCAAUCCACUGCUGACAAUCCUCUGCAGCAGCUCCCUUGUCACAUAGAGGGAGUGGUAGAUAGUCAGUGAAGAGAGGUAGGAAGAUGCUGCUUGCUCCACGUUCAGUAAAUCAGCCUUCUAAAUCUCCUGUAUGUGACUUUGAAGCAGACUUGUUUUUUUUACAAAUCGGCAUCAAAAUAUGUCCUGGGGUGUGCUACAAUGUCUCUCGAAGAGAUGCAAUAAAUGAUUUUUUUCUUUCACUGUAGAAGCUGAGACUCCAAUAAACACACUGCGACACUGAACAGAGGAGAACAGUCUCACCAGCUUUUAUGGCAGGCAAGUAAAGGCUUAAAUGAUUCCAAACAAAGGCAUCAUGACACCCAAACUACAGCAGCUUGAACAAGUCUAGUAGUGUUUUCACUUUCCUGAAACACUGCUGUUUACUGCAGCCGUAGCUGCGGAAUGAACAGGAGUCAGCAUGGAAAAUACUGCGUAUGUGCUAAGUCAAUCGUGCAUCCACAGCAGAGAAAAAAAUUCUGGGUUUUACUCCACUGCACAUUUAAGAAUAAUAAUCUGCACUAGGGACGCCUAGAAUGCCAGGAAAAAAAAGGUAAGUAAAAUGCUGCAACUUUUAGACAGUCUUUCACUGAACAGAAACAUUGGCCUGGUAAAAAAACAUAGCAAUUUAUUUCACUGAGAGGGUGCCUAAUGAUUUAGAAAAAUGUCUUUAUAGGAGCACCACACAGCUCUCCUUUGCAGAAUAUAUUUUUAUGUGCAAUGGCUGCCUAGUGGUUUGCACACUUUAUUAUGCUAUGUUUAUUUGAGACUAAAAGGGGAUAUUUGAUUCGGCUUAGAAGGGCAGGAUGACAUUGCUGCACUCCAUUUAUAAAUUUCCUUUUACAUUGUAUCCAAUAGGAGCACAACAUGGACAUGCCACCUGCAAAAUGUAUGGCAAUAUUGAUGUACUGGUGUACAAUUUUUAGUUUAAUUUCAGAAUUUGAUAUCAGAAGCAAAAAUUGUGUGCUAUUUUUAAUUGCAUUUAUGUUUGUUUAAUAAUUGGCAAUCUUUCUUUGUCUUGCUUUUUGAUUGGACAACUGAAGGUAAUCAAACAACUGUAUCAUAAUCAUAUCAUGUGGAUUUGCUUACUGGAUGUGUAAAAUUAUAAGGGCAUCCAAUAUAGGCACUAGUAAAGUUUACAUAUGAGUAUUAUUUACUGAACUCAUUUACAUUAAUUAUUAUACAUGUUUGUAUGUAAUAUGCAUGCCUUUAUUUAUUUAAACUGUAUUUAAUGUAUUUAUUUAUUAUGUUUUGCCCUUAUUAAUAUUGCAAGUCGUGUUUUUUGAUUAAUGUCAUUUUUGAAACUUACAUUUAUGCUGGGUACAGGUUAUAAAUGUAAAGCUGCUUUACCAGUCAUACAAUGAUGUGAGACAGCUUCAUUGUAUUUGGGGGGACUUCUAACAAAGUGGUAACAGGGCAGGUAUAAAACAAAACACUAUGGUAUUUUGGAGAUGACACUUCCGGAGACGGAAGCGUCAUCGGGACUGUACUGUGGAUAUUUUUGGUCUGGGAUACAGUGGGGAGGACAGAGAUAUAGAACAGAUCAUGACUAUUUACCUAAAGGUUUUAUGUUGCAAAGUAAAACAUUUGGAACAUUU